GGUGCGAGCGUUAUCGGAAUUACUGGGCGUAAAGCGUGCGCAGGCGGCUUUGCAAGACAGAGGUGAAAUCCCCGGGCUCAACCUGGGAACUGCCUUUGUGACUGCAAGGCUAGAGUACGGCAGAGGGGGAUGGAAUUCCGCGUGUAGCAGUGAAAUGCGUAGAUAUGCGGAGGAACACCGAUGGCGAAGGCAAUCCCCUGGGCCUGUACUGACGCUCAUGCACGAAAGCGUGGGGAGCAAACAGGAUUAGAUACCCUGGUAGUCAAGGGCG
This 271-nucleotide ribosomal RNA is filed under the name uncultured Burkholderiales bacterium. RNAcentral's name for it is "partial 16S ribosomal RNA". It matches the Rfam family "Bacterial small subunit ribosomal RNA", at positions 531 to 802 of the family's 1533-position model. The record is from RNAcentral. Lineage: Bacteria; Pseudomonadati; Pseudomonadota; Betaproteobacteria; Burkholderiales.